CCUAUAGCUCAGCUGGUUAGAGUGCACCCCUGAUAAGGGUGAGGUCACAAGUUCAAGUCUUGUUAGG
This 67-nucleotide transfer RNA is filed under the name Campylobacter coli. Its description in RNAcentral is "tRNA-Ile". It matches the Rfam family "tRNA". From Rfam's summary of the family: Transfer RNA (tRNA) molecules are approximately 80 nucleotides in length. Their secondary structure includes four short double-helical elements and three loops (D, anti-codon, and T loops). Lineage: Bacteria; Pseudomonadati; Campylobacterota; Epsilonproteobacteria; Campylobacterales; Campylobacteraceae. The record is from RNAcentral.